This is a long non-coding RNA of Vicia villosa (hairy vetch), 713 nucleotides long. RefSeq lists it as uncharacterized. NCBI's taxonomy places the organism in Eukaryota, Viridiplantae, Streptophyta, Magnoliopsida, Fabales, Fabaceae. The record is from RefSeq and is a predicted model, not a curated record. The transcript is spliced from 6 exons.
UGCUUAAUGCAUUGGAACCUUCAGUUUUGAAAAAUCCUAAACCCACUCAAUUUCUUUCCUACAUCUAUAAAGUCAUACUCUUCAAGGAACAUGCCAUCAAUAUUCUUCAUUUUAUUCUGUUCACUUCUGAGAUUUGCAAAUCUGUAAAUGACAAAGACAAAGAAAUUUUGAAAAAGUGAAAAGUGAAGUCUUGACGGUGGGCCUAUGAGAAAUUGAAAUAAAAAUGUUUGCAAAUAUGGUCAAUGAUAUUGACUAUGGGAAAACUGAUAGAUCUCUCAAGUUAUAGCUAUGGGUUUCUUCUAAAGUUCCUGAUGUUGAGAUCAUAAAUGAAGAACAUGUAACAUUAGCUCCAUUUGCAUUUUAUUUAGAAAGGAAAAUUAGACUGAGGAUGAGUCUCUGUGUAUUUUCAGAGAUUAUGUUACUGGCUUUCUUUGACUGUGAUUAACUAUGUGCCCUCUAUUACUUUUCUGUUUGCAGUCAUUUUAAAGUAACCAAUUUAAUAGGUUGGAGCACAUGAAGAUAAAAGAGGUAGCAUGUCAAGCCAAAACGAUUGGUACUGCAACGCAAUAACAUUUGCAGGAACAUUGCUGAUGGCUCUGUAUAAAGGUCAUGUAGUUAGUGUUGGGAAGUCGUCCAUUAUUCAUGCUACAAGCCAGGCUGAGAUUGUGAAUGAUUCCAAUAAUAACCGGUGGAUCAUAGGAACCUGUGUCCUC